GAUGGCCUACCAAGGCGACGACGGGUAGCCGGCCUGAGAGGGCGACCGGCCACACUGGGACUGAGACACGGCCCAGACUCCUACGGGAGGCAGCAGUGGGGAAUAUUGCACAAUGGGCGAAAGCCUGAUGCAGCGACGCCGCGUGAGGGAUGAAGGCCUUCGGGUUGUAAACCUCUUUCGGCAGGGACGAAGCGUGAGUGACGGUACCUGCAGAAGAAGCGCCGGCUAACUACGUGCCAGCAGCCGCGGUAAUA
This 254-nucleotide ribosomal RNA is filed under the name uncultured bacterium. RNAcentral's name for it is "partial 16S ribosomal RNA". It matches the Rfam family "Bacterial small subunit ribosomal RNA", at positions 259 to 525 of the family's 1533-position model. The record is from RNAcentral.